RNAcentral lists this ribosomal RNA (253 nucleotides) under uncultured prokaryote. RNAcentral's name for it is "partial 16S ribosomal RNA". It matches the Rfam family "Bacterial small subunit ribosomal RNA", at positions 524 to 776 of the family's 1533-position model. The record is from RNAcentral.
UACGUAGGGGGCAAGCGUUAUCCGGAAUUACUGGGUGUAAAGGGUGCGUAGGCGGCUUGGUAAGUCGGGAGUGAAAUUUAGGGGCUCAACCCCUAGGGUGCUCUCGAAACUACUGAGCUAGAGUAUAGGAGAGGAAAGUGGAAUUCCACGUGUAGCGGUGAAAUGCGUAGAGAUGUGGAGGAACACCAGUAGCGAAGGCGACUUUCUGGACUAUUACUGACGCUGAGGCACGAAAGCGUGGGGAGCAAACAGG